This 190-nucleotide long non-coding RNA is filed under the name Mustela putorius furo (domestic ferret). RNAcentral describes it as "lncRNA (ENSMPUG00000026994.1)". Lineage: Eukaryota; Metazoa; Chordata; Mammalia; Carnivora; Mustelidae. The record is from RNAcentral.
UGAAGUGGUAUUUCUAUCAGCCCACCGUCAUUUAUCCUUCUUAUAGAGUCAUCUUACAUUAGCCCUGCUUCUUUGUUAAAGAGGACGACGAUGGUUAUGUUGGGGAGAACCAAAAGGCAUAAAGGGUCCCGAGGUACAGCACACAGAAGGGAAACGGCAUUCACUGCGUGAUCAUGGCAAUCGCAGCUUU